This 572-nucleotide ribosomal RNA is filed under the name uncultured bacterium. RNAcentral describes it as "partial 16S ribosomal RNA". It matches the Rfam family "Bacterial small subunit ribosomal RNA", at positions 355 to 919 of the family's 1533-position model. The record is from RNAcentral.
UGGGGAAUUUUGGACAAUGGGCGAAAGCCUGAUCCAGCAAUGCCGCGUGUGUGAAGAAGGCCUUCGGGUUGUAAAGCACUUUUGUCCGGAAAGAAAUCCUUGGCUCUAAUACAGUCGGGGGAUGACGGUACCGGAAGAAUAAGCACCGGCUAACUACGUGCCAGCAGCCGCGGUAAUACGUAGGGUGCAAGCGUUAAUCGGAAUUACUGGGCGUAAAGCGUGCGCAGGCGGUUUUGUAAGACGGAUGUGAAAUCCCCGGGCUUAACCUGGGAACUGCAUUCGUGACUGCAAGGCUAGAGUAUGGCAGAGGGGGGUAGAAUUCCACGUGUAGCAGUGAAAUGCGUAGAGAUGUGGAGGAAUACCGAUGGCGAAGGCAGCCCCCUGGGCCAAUACUGACGCUCAUGCACGAAAGCGUGGGGAGCAAACAGGAUUAGAUACCCUGGUAGUCCACGCCCUAAAACGAUGUCAACUAGUUGUUGGGGAUUCAUUUCCUUAGUAACGUAGCUAACGCGUGAAGUUGACCGCCUGGGGAGUACGGUCGCAAGAUUAAAACUCAAAUGAAUUGACGGGGU